ACUUGCCGCGCCGCGACAGGUUCCCCGCGAGGGGAUUGAAAGGGAACGCGGGUGAGAUACCCGGGCUGCCCCUGCAACUGUAAGCGGAGAGCCGUUCUGCCACAUGCCAUUGGGGGUGCAAGCCCCUGAGAAGGCGGCCGAAAUCGGCGAUGACCCGUGAGCCAGGAGACCUGCCCGUCGCCGUCGUUCUUC
RNAcentral lists this non-coding RNA (192 nucleotides) under Sphingomonas sp. Lineage: Bacteria; Pseudomonadati; Pseudomonadota; Alphaproteobacteria; Sphingomonadales; Sphingomonadaceae. The record is from RNAcentral.